RNAcentral lists this small RNA (22 nucleotides) under Arabidopsis thaliana (thale cress). RNAcentral describes it as "ATSL178590". The record is from RNAcentral. Lineage: Eukaryota; Viridiplantae; Streptophyta; Magnoliopsida; Brassicales; Brassicaceae.
AAAAAAGAAGAGAAAAAUAAAA